AAGCUUCGUAAUUGACUACGCACGGGACGUAAAGCGAACAAGGUUGAUGAAGGUAACGUUGUCUGGUAACGAAAAGAAGAAACGAGCAAAAAAAAAAGGAGAGAAGUUAUACGUCGACGUCGUGAUCGUCGAGUGAAAGAUAACAGCGAGCAAGCGGAGGAAAGGAAGGGUUUAAAAAAACACGUGGAAGCGGAACGAAGAUUAAAUGAACAGAAGCCGGAGAGAAGCGGAACAAAGGACCAAAAGCAACGGUUCGUCUACUCCGAGUGGACCAGCCCCUCGUUCCCGUCUACGCCAACCACCCUUGCGCUUCCAACCCGUAGAGAGUUGCCGCGAAAAAGCAGCACGAGAUAAAAGCGCCACGAGAAAACUCCGAGCCGAGCUACGCCAAUGGGGCGCGGUACUUUAGCGACACAAAGGAAGCUCAAAUAUCGGCCAACUGUCGUAGCCCGGUGCCACCCAACCCCUGGAACGACCUCUCUCUUUCACUGUCCGUUUCAUACCUUUUCUUGCUUGAAACGAAAGCAGGGGAGAAAAAGAGAGAGACAGAACGUUUCAACAAAAGCAUGACGGUACAAAAGCUCUACGAUAAUAGGAAGCACGGCAAGAACCACCCUGGUAGUUCGGCCACCUAAUCUGUUACAGUCAUAAACCCCAUUUUUACCCCUCCAUGGUCGUCCUUAUACGAGCACCCAAAACCAACCUCUGUAUUACAGUACAUAUAACCACCUAUACAACCACGUAGAACCACACACGUACGCUAUUAGUGGUACGUGAAGUCAAAUUUUUCUCGGGAUUACGUCUACCGACCAGUGCGCCAAUCAUCCCUCUUUAACAAGCAGAUUCUCUUAAAUUCGAUAUCAAGUACAUUUUGGAAAAUAUUUGUAAUCCUUGGUAAGGAUUGUUAUAGCAAGGGCUGAGAUGUAUAUUUCUGAAUGUCAAGUAUUGAAAGUAUAAAACUAUAAGAGUAAUUUAUAAUUUU
This 982-nucleotide unclassified non-coding RNA is filed under the name Bombus terrestris (buff-tailed bumblebee). Its description in RNAcentral is "misc RNA ENSBTSG00005033713.1". The record is from RNAcentral. Lineage: Eukaryota; Metazoa; Arthropoda; Insecta; Hymenoptera; Apidae.